GGCGUGUGUGCCGUGUCGUGUUUGUCAUCCUUCCAGAGAGCUGCGUCUACCAUUCACUUGGCCGGACGUACGCGAUCUGGAUCGAUUACUUUGAAAAAAUUAGAGUGUUUAAAGCAGGCUUACGCUGUGAAUACAUUAGCAUGGAAUAAUAAUUUAGGACUUCGGUUCUAUUUUGUUGGUUUCUAGGACUGAAGUAAUGAUUGAUAGGGACAGUUGGGGGUGCUAGUAUUCCGCGGCCAGAGGUGAAAUUCUUGGAUUCGCGGAAGACUAACUACUGCGAAAGCAUUCACCAAGGAUGUCUUCUUUAAUCAAGAACGAAAGUUGGGGGAUCGAAGACGAUCAGAUACCGUCGUAGUCUCAACCAUAAACUAUACCGACUAAGGAUCAGUGAACGUUGAUUUACGACUUCAUUGGCACUUUGUGAGAAAUCAAAGUCUUUGGGUUCCGGGGGGAGUAUGGUCGCAAGGCUGAAACUUAAAGGAAUUGACGGAAGGGCACCACCAGGAGUGGAGCCUGCGGCUUAAUUUGACUCAACACGGGGAAACUUACCAGGUCCAGACAUAGUUAGGAUUGACAGAUUGAGAGCUCUUUCUUGAUUCUAUGGGUGGUGGUGCAUGGGCCGUUCUUAGUUGGUGGAGUGAUUUGUCUGGUUAAUUCCGUUAACGAACGAGACCUUAACCUGCUAACUAGUUACCUCUAUGUAAAUAGGGGGUCUAACUUCUUAGAGGGACUUUGUG
RNAcentral lists this ribosomal RNA (737 nucleotides) under uncultured eukaryote. RNAcentral describes it as "SSU rRNA". It matches the Rfam family "Eukaryotic small subunit ribosomal RNA", at positions 667 to 1426 of the family's 1831-position model. The record is from RNAcentral.